Molecule: transfer RNA, 67 nt
Filed under: Uroplatus ebenaui
Lineage: Eukaryota; Metazoa; Chordata; Lepidosauria; Squamata; Gekkonidae
Description: tRNA-Tyr
Source: RNAcentral
GGUAGGGUGGCCGAGAAAAAGCGGUGAGCUGUAGCCUCAUAGACGGGAUAAAGAGCCCCCCCCACCA